Molecule: ribosomal RNA, 301 nt
Filed under: uncultured bacterium
Lineage: Bacteria
Description: partial 16S ribosomal RNA
Rfam family: Bacterial small subunit ribosomal RNA
Source: RNAcentral
CAGCCGCCGCGGUAAUACGUAGGGUGCAAGCGUUAAUCGGAAUUACUGGGCGUAAAGCGUGCGCAGGCGGUUUGUUAAGACAGAUGUGAAAUCCCCGGGCUCAACCUGGGAACUGCAUUUGUGACUGGCAAGCUAGAGUGUGGCAGAGGGGGGUGGAAUUCCGCGUGUAGCAGUGAAAUGCGUAGAUAUGCGGAGGAACACCGAUGGCGAAGGCAGCCCCCUGGGCCAACACUGACGCUCAUGCACGAAAGCGUGGGGAGCAAACAGGAUUAGAUACCCCGGUAGUCCCUGUCUCUUAUAC